GAUCGUUCGUACCGAAGUGUAACGAGGAAGGCUACUAUGAGAAGAAGCAGUGUCAUGCCAGCACAGGUACUGCUGGUGCGUGACAAACAUGGCAACGAGUUCCUGGAGUCCAGGGUACGAGACGACCCCAAUUGUGACGACUUUGACGAGAACAUCCCUGCCGACCGGCAGGUGGCGCCACAGAGCGAGCUGAUCGCCGACGAAGAUGCCGAUGAGGAAAUCGAGGGUUCCGGAUUCAACGAGUAGAUGGCGCUGGCGGCAGUCGCGUGACGUGUACGUGCGGGGGUGACUUUGGUUCUGUAGUAGCCAACAUUACCUCCGGAGAUCUUUUGUACAGUGCUGUGUUUCUUUACCUAUCAUUUGUAACGAAAUCUCGUAGCGAUCCCCCUGGUAGGUGGCGCUGGCAUCGGGCACAUUUUCAAGAGAGCUGAGAGGGCGCCACUGCACGCGGUUUAUUAUGUGUAUAUGAGUUUAUGCGCCCCGUGCAAGAAAUCUCGCGAUGUGUAUACGUAAAGAGAGAGAGACAGAGAGACAGAGAGAGAGAGAGAGCGUGCCACACGAGAAUGUGUGUGAAGCAUGUAAGAAGAGAAAAUGUAAGGAUUUUAGAAACGUAUAAGUACGAGAAACCGUAUUAUAUGUCCUAUGCAGAUAUAUCAAGGUCACUUUUUCUUUUUGAAGGUGGAAUGUGUUUAGAAUUUAGCACGAUGAGUGUAGUCCCCUGUUGUCACGCGAUUCAUUCCAUUUUGAUAUACGGAAACCAGAUGCAUUCCAAGCCGAGCACGUAAUUUUAUCUAACCUACACGUAGGAGUUAUAAAUCAUGAUGUAAUUAUAUAUUUUCGGUUCGUAUAACGUGUAUCAUUGGUGAUGUUAACAUUCAAUCUGUCAUCUUAUGAUACGUGGGAGAGACCACAUAUAUACUUAGACAUAAGUUUACUAUACUAAUCUGGCAAAAACUCUAGUCUGAGGGGACGCUAAAUUGCUUGCGCCUAUUUACCACGGCAAGUUCCGGUAUCCGUGUACAGAGACGCCCCGACUUACGAACAAGUUCGGUUCUGAGCGGUCAUUCGUAAGUCGAUUUGUUCGUAAGUCAAACAUAUGUACGUACGUAUACAGUAUUGUGCAGUAGUGUAGUAUAUGCACGUGUAAACAUCGAGUAACCUAGAGGUGUACAUUGUGUAAACAUAUACGUGAACACAGGAGUUAGCGAAAGUCAAAAUCAAGGGGGCGGUUGUGUCUUUUUAUUCACCAAUAUUGAGAUUAUACACUAAUGGACUUAAGGGGAAAUUGUUCGUAUCAUCGAAAGUUUGUAACUCGAAUAUUCGUAAGUCGGGGAGUCUCUGUAUUGGCGCUUACUUCUAUAUCGAUCCUAAACAUAUAUGUGUGUUUACAUGUUGUAGUAAAUAAUAAUAAUAAUUAAAAAAUAAUUAACUACGAAAUAUCCCGAGUGAGCCAUCACCAGUCCAUGCAAUAAUAAGUUUAGGUAGAGAGAUGUAAAGGAGAUAUAGUUGUAGGUUUACUUUAAAAAAAAGACGUAGUAGUUGAAGAUGUUUUUCAGAUAACGUCUAGAGUUGCAGCCAUGUUUCGUCACGUUUGCAGCGAUAGGUUUGAACGUUGCUUUCUCCGUUUCAUCUAUUAAAGUGAUUACGUCACCGUAAAUAGUAAAAGUAAAAAAAAUAUUUCCACUUUUUCACAAAAUGUAA
Molecule: long non-coding RNA, 1701 nt
Organism: Priapulus caudatus
Lineage: Eukaryota; Metazoa; Priapulida; Priapulimorpha; Priapulimorphida; Priapulidae
Exons: 2
Source: RefSeq, a predicted model, not a curated record